GUUGCCAUCAGGAUCUAAAGGAUCGCUGGGCACUCUUGGGGACCGCUGCCGACAAGGCUGAGGAAGUGGGGGCCACGGUAGGUCAGUAUGCCCCGAAUAUCCUGGGGCCACACGCGGGCUGCAAUGGUAGGGACAGAGGGCUGCAACAUCGAGAGAUGGAGCCAAUCCCUAAACCCUACCUCAGUUGGGAUCGAGGGCUGCAACCCGCCCUCGUGAACAUGGAAUGCCUAGUAACCGCGCGUCAUCAUCGCGCAGUGAAUACGUCCCUGCUCCUU
RNAcentral lists this ribosomal RNA (275 nucleotides) under uncultured crenarchaeote. Its description in RNAcentral is "partial 16S ribosomal RNA". It matches the Rfam family "Archaeal small subunit ribosomal RNA", at positions 1063 to 1338 of the family's 1478-position model. Lineage: Archaea; Thermoproteati; Thermoproteota. The record is from RNAcentral.